UACAGAGGCCUCGAGCGUUAGGCGGAAUCACUGGGCUUAAAGCGUGUGUAGGCGGACCCCUAAGUACCUUGUGAAAUCCCACGGCUCACCCGUGGAACGGCUGGGUAUACUGGGGGUCUUGAGCCACCUAGGGGCGAGUGGAACAAAUGGUGGAGCGGUGAAAUGCGUAGAUAUCAUUUGGAACGCCAAUGGUGAAAACAACUCGCUGGGGGUGUGCUGACGCUGAGACACGAAAGCCAGGGAAGCGAACGGG
Molecule: ribosomal RNA, 253 nt
Filed under: uncultured bacterium
Lineage: Bacteria
Description: partial 16S ribosomal RNA
Rfam family: Bacterial small subunit ribosomal RNA
Source: RNAcentral